UACGUAGGGGCAAGCGUUAUCCGGAUUUACUGGGUGUAAAGGGAGCGCAGACGGAACUGCAAGUCUGAUGUGAAAGCCCGGGGCUCAACCGCGGGACUGCAUCGGAUGCUGUAGAUCUGGAGUGCCGGAGGGGCAAGCGGAAUUCCUGGUGUAGCGGUGAAAUGCGUAGAUAUCAGGAGGAACACCGGCGGCGAAGGCGGCUUGCUGGACGGCAACUGACGUUGAGGCUCGAAAGCGUGGGGAGCAAACAGGAUUAGAUA
Molecule: ribosomal RNA, 260 nt
Filed under: uncultured prokaryote
Description: partial 16S ribosomal RNA
Rfam family: Bacterial small subunit ribosomal RNA
Source: RNAcentral